AGCGAACGCUGGCGGCAGGCCUAACACAUGCAAGUCGAACGAACCUUUCGGGGUUAGUGGCGGACGGGUGAGUAACGCGUGGAACGUGCCUUUAGGUUCGGAAUAACUCAGGGAAACUUGUGCUAAUACCGAAUGUGCCCUUCGGGGGAAAGAUUAAUCGCCUUUAGAGCGGCCCGCGUCUGAUUAGCUAGUUGGUUGAGGUAAUGGCUCACCAAGGCGACGAUCAGUAGCUGGUCUGAGAGGAUGAUCAGCCACAUUGGGACUGAGACACGGCCCAAACUCCUACGGGAGGCAGCAGUGGGGAAUCUUGCGCAAUGGGCGAAAGCCUGACGCAGCCAUGCCGCGUGAAUGAUGAAGGUCUUAGGAUUGUAAAAUUCUUUCACCGGGGACGAUAAUGACGGUACCCGGAGAAGAAGCCCCGGCUAACUUCGUG
This 433-nucleotide ribosomal RNA is filed under the name uncultured bacterium. Its description in RNAcentral is "partial 16S ribosomal RNA". It matches the Rfam family "Bacterial small subunit ribosomal RNA", at positions 29 to 507 of the family's 1533-position model. The record is from RNAcentral.